Molecule: ribosomal RNA, 254 nt
Filed under: uncultured bacterium
Lineage: Bacteria
Description: partial 16S ribosomal RNA
Rfam family: Bacterial small subunit ribosomal RNA
Source: RNAcentral
UACGGAGGGUGCAAGCGUUAUCCGGAAUCACUGGGUUUAAAGGGUGCGUAGGCGGUGGCAUAAGUCAGUCGUGAAAUACUCCGGCUUAACCGGUAGAACUGCGAUUGAUACUGUGUCACUUGAAUUAGGUUGAGGUAGGCGGAAUGUGACAUGUAGCGGUGAAAUGCUUAGAUAUGUCAUAGAACACCGAUUGCGAAGGCAGCUUGCUGGACCUUAAUUGACGCUGAGGCACGAAAGCGUGGGGAGCAAACAGG